UAGUAACGGCGAGUGAAGCGGGAAGAGCUCAAGCUUAAAAUCUCCGUGCAAGUUUUGCGCGGCGAAUUGUAGUCUAUAGAGGCGUGGUCAGCGUGGGCGCUUGGGGCAAGUUCCUUGGAAGAGGACAGCAUGGAGGGUGAUACUCCCGUUCAUCCCUGAGUGGCUCGUGCGUACGACCCGUGUUCUUUGAGUCGCGUUGUUUGGGAAUGCAGCGCAAAGUAGGUGGUAAAUUCCAUCUAAAGCUAAAUAUUGGUGCGAGACCGAUAGCGAACAAGUACCGUGAGGGAAAGAUGAAAAGAACUUUGAAAAGAGAGUUAAAGAGUACCUGAAACUGCUGAAAGGGAACCGAAUCGUUUCCAGUGUCUAUAAUCCGUGGCAUAUUUCAUUGGCGAGUGUGCGCGUGCGUGURCUGUGGCAGCGGCCUUUUUGGGCUGCGCUCGGUGCGUGUGCUGUGUGUGCUUGCUGGUGCCCUGUGCUGCGGUGGGACGUCAAGGUCAGUUCGUAUGCUGCGGGAAAUGGCUGCCGAGGAGGUAGGGCUUACGCUCCGCGUUUGUCUGUUAUAUCUUGGUGGACGAGUCGUCGCGGUUGGGACUGAGGUGCCUACAACGUGCUUUUGAGUGGGUCUGUGUCUCCGUGUGCGCCGUGUGCGGAUAGCUUGCUAUGCGUGUGUGGUUGUGUGUGGAUUGAUGCGGGCCUUAACUUGUCGCCGUUCGGGACGUUGACGAAAUGGAGCGAUCCGACCCGUCUUGAAACACGGACCAAGGAGUCUAACAUGUGUGCAAGUGUUAGGGUGUGGAAACCCCAGCGCGAAAUGAAAGUGAAGGGCAGCGCAAGUUGUCUGAGGUAGGAAACGUUGCGGGCUUCGGUCUGCGGCGUGGCACUAUCGACCGAUCAUGAACCUUCGUGGUGAAAGAUUUGAGUUUGAGCACAUAUGUUGGUACCCGAAAGAUGGUGAACUAUGCCUGAG
RNAcentral lists this ribosomal RNA (967 nucleotides) under Phytophthora x cambivora. RNAcentral describes it as "LSU rRNA". It matches the Rfam family "Eukaryotic large subunit ribosomal RNA", at positions 81 to 841 of the family's 3401-position model. Lineage: Eukaryota; Oomycota; Peronosporomycetes; Peronosporales; Peronosporaceae. The record is from RNAcentral.